AUGUUGCUGUGUUGUUUUAAACUAUCUAAUUAAAUCCACUUUAAGUGUUCAAAAGAAAGAAACUUUCCCUGUUUAAAUAUAUGUUACUGCAGCUGUUGCUCUAAUUAAACAAAUUUUGAAUAGUGAUAGUUUGUUGAGGCCCAUUUAGCAAAGCCCAUUUAAUACACCAGAAAACAAGACCUUGAAAUCUUUUUUUCAUAUUGAAAUGUGUGUAUAAAUACAGAGUUCAUUCAAGAAAUGCCAUCGUGCAGACAAAUACUGAAUUUGCCUUGUUUUAACACAACUGAAGCCUGCUUUUUUUCAAUGGGCAGUUUGCUUCAAUAGGCACGGUAGACUUACAAACCUGGAUUUUAAUAAUCUGCUAUGAAAUUUCCCAUCUGUGACCAUUGUGGGAAUUGGGAAACGAGGGUUUUCUUAGCUUUAAGGGAUAGAAAGUUGCACUGGAAACUGAAAUUCUCUGAAGCUGUCACUUGAGAUACAAACUGUUAUUUGGUAGUUCUUAGUUCAAGUGUUUCAUAUUGUGCCAAGAUCACUACAAACAUCCAUGAAAAGUUUAUGUAUGGAGUUUAUGCUUGACUAUGCUUAGGCUAAGGGGUUUGUCUUCUGUGUCGGGAUCUCACAGAGCAGUGGUGGUCUGAGCACGUUUUCUGUGCCUUCUUUCCCACUUGCUGAGCUACAAGAAAUGGCGCAAAGCAUAAAGCGUGGACAGGAGCCUUGAGUUUCCGUACGGAUGGGAUUAAGUUCAGGAGAUGGAGAAGUGCAGAGGGGAACUCACUUCCUGCUCAGCUAGAUCACAGCUUGACUCCUGUCAGUGGCCGGGCAGGUGCUCUUGUCAUGCCUCGGGGAGAGCAGGAGUGUCUCGCAGCACAGGUAAUCAAUAGCACCAUCUGUCUCCUCCUUCUCACCCACCGCGCACGUGCUCCUGCUCUCCUGGGGAAGUUGGCUUCGUUUUCAGACAUAGUAUGAGCUAAAGUAUCUCUCGGUUCACUAGACUUGAAGGUGGAGAUAUUUAACCAAACCACAGCAUGGCAAACACAACCUUUCUGUUAGGAGCGUUG
Molecule: long non-coding RNA, 1058 nt
Filed under: Struthio camelus australis
Lineage: Eukaryota; Metazoa; Chordata; Aves; Struthioniformes; Struthionidae
Description: lncRNA (ENSSCUG00000011585.1)
Source: RNAcentral